CGCGCUGACCGGAUGGAGUUGCCAUGGAAACGGAGCGCAACACUGCAAAUGUCACGAGGAAACACCCCGUUUCUCGCUGAUUUCACUGUUUUCAGGAAUGGUUUAAUGUCUUCGAAAAAGUCCGUUAGCAUUUCUACCGUUUUCAGACGACGUAUCGUCAGAUUCUUCAGUGCUGAUGGCCUGCUGCAUCCAGCAGAGUCGGAGUGAACCUACUGUAAGACAACAUCUCCAAGAUGCUAUUGACCACAAGACUAGUACAGGUUAUUAGAAACUGCACAGCACAGGACUUGCAGGACUUGUGAGGACUUCAGAUGAUACCAGUACUCAAAAGACCUUAGAUGAUGGCAACUAUAGAUGGACAUACAAACAACCGCCACUGCAAAAAAGAUUCUAAUUUGAAAGAAGUUUAUAAUGCAUGUUCGCUACUCCCAAUUCAGAAGACUGAAUCAGCCUGUGUAUCUGAAAGUUUCUCAUACUCACUCCUCUCUGCCGCGUCUGAAUUUGGGAUUUUUCUUAGCUGUCAGUUAUAAACGUCAAAAUUAAAAGAAAUAAACAUUUGAAAUAUAUCAGUCUGUGUGUAAUGAAUAAAUAUAAUAUACAAGUUUCACUUUUUGAAUGGAAUUAGUGAAAUAAAUCAACUUUUUGAUGAUAUUCAAAUUAUAUGACCAGCACCUGUAUAUCA
This is a long non-coding RNA of Carassius gibelio (silver crucian carp), 682 nucleotides long. RefSeq lists it as uncharacterized. The record is from RefSeq and is a predicted model, not a curated record. The transcript has 5 exons. NCBI's taxonomy places the organism in Eukaryota, Metazoa, Chordata, Actinopteri, Cypriniformes, Cyprinidae.